This 253-nucleotide ribosomal RNA is filed under the name uncultured bacterium. RNAcentral's name for it is "partial 16S ribosomal RNA". It matches the Rfam family "Bacterial small subunit ribosomal RNA", at positions 524 to 776 of the family's 1533-position model. The record is from RNAcentral.
GACAGAGGGUGCGAACGUUGUUCGGAAUUACUGGGCGUAAAGCGCGUGUAGGUUGCCCGGCAAGUCGGAUGUGAAAGCCCUCGGCUCAACCGGGGAAGUGCAUCCGAAACUACCAGGCUAGAGUGCCGGAGAGGGAAGUGGAAUUCCCGGUGUAGAGGUGAAAUUCGUAGAUAUCGGGAGGAACACCAGCGGCGAAGGCGGCUUCCUGGACGAGCACUGACACUGAGACGCGACAGCGUGGGGAGCAAACAGG